CUCCUGAGAGCUCUUAGGUAACCCCUGCCCUAUGAACAGUUUAAAUGGCCGCAGUACUUUGACUGUGCAAAGGUAGCAUAAUCACUUGCUUCAUAAUUAGGAGCUGGAAUGAAGGGGGCGACGAAAUCUAGACUAUUUGUGAAAUAAUGUAAAUUGACAUUGUGGUUAAAAGGCCACAAUAUAUCAAAGGGACGAUAAGACCCUAUAAAACUUUACCCUUAGAUCUAGAUUUGCUUAGAUAUAAUCUACUAUAAGGGUUGAACUGGGGCGGUAUUUAUAUAAACAAUCUUAUAGUAAAUAUUUUACAUAAAUUUAAAGAACUCUACUAGGAAAUUUAGAAUAAGUUACUUUAGGGAUAACAGCAUAAUUCUCCCAGAAAGUACUAAUUGGCGGGAGAGCUUAUGACCUCGAUGUUGAAUUGGGGCUCCUUAUAUAAGCAGAAAUAUAUGUAGGUAGUCUGUUCGACUGUUACACCCCC
This 478-nucleotide ribosomal RNA is filed under the name Proasellus coxalis. RNAcentral's name for it is "partial 16S ribosomal RNA". It matches the Rfam family "Archaeal large subunit ribosomal RNA", at positions 1922 to 2666 of the family's 2987-position model. Lineage: Eukaryota; Metazoa; Arthropoda; Malacostraca; Isopoda; Asellidae. The record is from RNAcentral.